AACAUCGAAAAUCAGCCAGAAGUCUGCCUCUAGUCUUCAUGACACUGAUGCUGACUGUCUCAUAAACUGCUGUGUACCGUUUCAAACAGGGCUGUCUGCUGGACUUCUCUUGCUCGACUGAAUAAGGGAGACACUCCAACUGAAUAUGCUACAGUGCCCUGAGCGAAAGGCGAGGAAUAUCCAUGAUUAAGCUUCUCCUUUUUAUUAAGCCAUGAAUACUCGGCACCCGUGCACAUUCAGUGGCAAACAUACAGAUGGAAUGGUGUCUUCUCCUCUUUGAUAUUCUUUUGUUGAUCCUAUGAGCAGCAGAUGCAGGCCUCAUGGAGUGCUCUUGGACCCCCUCUCGUUGGGUUGCUAUGUUGGUCCUACCGUUCUCAUAAGGUCACGAGCCAUUUGACAAACUGGGACAUUUUCAUGUCUUUGCGCUCGUUCAUAUCACAACUGCCUAUAAAUCCCAAACUCUGCUACCCAGCCUCCUGUAAACAGGCGGAAUUAGAGGGGGAAGAGAUGCUAUUGUGCCGCCUCAGCAUUUACCAAAGGACAGUGCUCCCCUUAGGUCUUAUACUUUAAUGUCAUACUGUAAGUUAGGGUCUUGGGUGUAUAGAAAAAUGCUCCUGCUGUCAUACUGAUAACAAAACAAUAUCAACCUUUUAUCUUUUGUAUCACGAUGCUUUCAUUAUUUGAAAUGUUCAAUGCCUCAAUUUGCUUAAUUCAUCAUUUUUGCAUGGAUGUUUGCAGUGUCUAUACGGAAGAAUAUAUUAUUAAAUUCUUUUGUCAUUG
Molecule: long non-coding RNA, 780 nt
Organism: Pseudoliparis swirei
Lineage: Eukaryota; Metazoa; Chordata; Actinopteri; Perciformes; Liparidae
Exons: 2
Source: RefSeq, a predicted model, not a curated record